CAGGCCUAACACAUGCAAGUCGAACGAAGCCUUCGGGCUUAGUGGCGGACGGGUUAGUAACGCGUGGGAAUGUACCCUUCACUACGGAAUAGUCCCGGGAAACUGGGUUUAAUACCGUAUACGCCCUUCGGGGGAAAGAAUUUCGGUGAAGGAUCAGCCCGCGUUAGAUUAGGUAGUUGGUGGGGUAAUGGCCUACCAAGCCUACGAUCUAUAGCUGGUUUGAGAGGAUGAUCAGCAACACUGGGACUGAGACACGGCCCAGACUCCUACGGGAGGCAGCAGUGGGGAAUCUUAGACAAUGGGGGAAACCCUGAUCUAGCCAUGCCGCGUGAGUGACGAAGGUCUUAGGAUCGUAAAGCUCUUUCAACUGUGAAGAUAAUGACGGUAGCAGUAGAAGAAACCCCGGCUAACUCCGUGCCAGCAGCCGCGGUAAUACGGAGGGGGUUAGCGUUGUUCGGAAUUACUGGGCGUAAAGCGCACGUAGGCGGAUUGGAAAGUUGGGGGUGAAAUCCCGGGGCUCAACCUCGGAACUGCCUCCAAAACUAUCAGUCUAGAGUUCGAGAGAGGUGAGUGGAAUUCCGAGUGUAGAGGUGAAAUUCGUAGAUAUUCGGAAGAACACCAGUGGCGAAGGCGGCUCACUGGCUCGAUACUGACGCUGAGGUGCGAAAGUGUGGGUAGCAAACAGGAUUAGAUACCCUGGUAGUCCACACCGUAAACGAUGAAUGCCAGUCGUCAGGGGGCUUGCCCCUUGGUGACACACCUAACGGAGUAAGCAUUCCGCCUGGGGAGUCGGCCGCAAGGUUAAAAC
Molecule: ribosomal RNA, 808 nt
Filed under: uncultured bacterium
Lineage: Bacteria
Description: bacterial SSU rRNA
Rfam family: Bacterial small subunit ribosomal RNA
Source: RNAcentral